RNAcentral lists this telomerase RNA (1394 nucleotides) under [Torrubiella] hemipterigena. RNAcentral describes it as "Torrubiella hemipterigena Ascomycota telomerase RNA". It matches the Rfam family "Ascomycota telomerase RNA", at positions 188 to 1858 of the family's 1858-position model. Lineage: Eukaryota; Fungi; Ascomycota; Sordariomycetes; Hypocreales; Clavicipitaceae. The record is from Rfam by way of RNAcentral.
UCUUUCGCUACUGAUCUUGUGCACGACGCCUUCCCUACAGUUUCCCGAUUUCGAUUUUCCGAAAGGAAUGUCUAUCGUAGACCCCUCUACAAGCUUGGGUUGACCACGUAUGCCACUCUCGAGCCUGUAUCAGGACCUCGCAGCUAGUGGCAAAUGGAGCCGUCGUGGUCAGAAGCCGUCGGUUACUAGACGGCCCAAGGGCGCCAAGAGGGAAUCGAGUCGGAACUUAACCCUACGAAUAUAUCUGGUUUUAGCUUUGCGGUCGUAUGUUGGCCAACAUCGCCUUUUACGGCCUAGCAGACGUUUUUCGACCGCUGGAGGCGCUGAAAAGUGCACUAGUUGUCGACUGGACGUCGGCAGGGACAGAAUGGCUUUUUGGUCUUCCAGUCACGUUUCUGUGUGCGAAGAUGAGAGCCAUGAGAGCGCGGAAAUGCGUAAUCGUCAGCUUUUGUCGCUGGACCCUGACAUUGGUCGUCGGUUAGUUGCUUGACAGAGGAAGCCAAUAUGUUCAACCCUUCCGGAUGUGAGAGGCCGAAGCACGGGAGUAGAGCUCAUCAAAAACCACAAACAACCAGACGGUUCGCUUCAUACCGCAUUCCGGACCUGCCUUGCCGGACGCAUGCCGAUUUCGUUCGGCUUUGCUGCGAGGAGGUCUAAGGAAACCAACAGAAGCGCACUGUCUGUUCACACAUUGUUUUGUUGAACAUGCUCUCGGUCCUCCCGGCUUCAUAAUGGUCUCAUAUACACUGGCGGGGCAACUAUGGCCAACUUUCAAGCCAUGCAAGUGCAUCAUUUGCCGGCAUGUGAUGCUCCAUAUCUACUCAGAUCAGACCCAUUAACGCCUAGGUACAGUCUUGGUUGUGCCUCUGGUGGCGCCUAUUCCUUUCUGUUCCCGUUUUUGGGUCACAGACUUACCUGGGUUGACCGACUGCUCUUGGUCAAUCAAGAUGAGAGCGCGAGUUUUUGCGGAUGUCUUUUGCUACGUGCGUUAAUGCCCUCCUUCAACAUAGCUAUUCUGAUCUAUGGGAGUGGAAAACAAAAACAGUCCUUGUCGGCAGUGCUACACAAACAGAAAGAGCCAUUGGAGUUGAGCAAGGUAAACCUUUGAUGCAAUGACCGGAAGUUUCAGCCUGUGAUGAUAGCUGCUUGUCUAUGAAACUAUGUGGUCCGAAGUGGUGUUGCAUACUUCAUCUGCGUGUCUUCGGGACCCAUCCCGUGUUGGUGUCAAAGUUUUGUACUUGUCUGGGACGACGUUUGGGAUCUAUGCAACCCACGAUCUUGGCUAACCGGUUUCUCUACUACUUGUUUGUUAUGGGCAGGCCCAAGGGAUGGGUAGCUCAGGCUGUCUUCGCAGCAGAAAUGCUAUGCCGAAGGCAGCCCCCCAACAUUGGCGG